AGGGUUUGAUCAUGGCUCAGGAUGAACGCUGGCGGCGUGCUUAACACAUGCAAGUCGAACGAACCUUCGGGUUAGUGGCGGACGGGUGAGUAACGCGUGAGAAUCUGCCCUCAGGAGGGGGAUAACGGUUGGAAACGACCGCUAAUACCCCAUAUGCCUACUGGUGAAACGAAUUUCGCCUGAGGAUGAGCUCGCGUCUGAUUAGCUAGUUGGUGAGGUAAUGGCUCACCAAGGCUUCGAUCAGUAGCUGGUCUGAGAGGAUGAUCAGCCACACUGGGACUGAGACACGGCCCAGACUCCUACGGGAGGCAGCAGUGGGGAAUUUUCCGCAAUGGGCGAAAGCCUGACGGAGCAACGCCGCGUGAGGGACGAAGGCCUCUGGGCUGUAAACCUCUUUUCUCAAGGAAGAAGAUAUGACGGUACUUGAGGAAUAAGCCACGGCUAAUUCCGUGCCAGCAGCCGCGGUAAUACGGGAGUGGCAAGCGUUAUCCGGAAUUAUUGGGCGUAAAGCGUCCGCAGGCGGCUUUUCAAGUCUGCUGUUAAAGCGUGGAGCUUAACUCCAUCAUGGCAGUGGAAACUGAAAGGCUUGAGUAUGGUAGGGGCAGAGGGAAUUCCCGGUGUAGCGGUGAAAUGCGUAGAUAUCGGGAAGAACACCAGUGGCGAAGGCGCUCUGCUGGGCCAUUACUGACGCUCAUGGACGAAAGCCAGGGGAGCGAAAGGGAUUAGAUACCCCUGUAGUCCUGGCCGUAAACGAUGAACACUAGGUGUCGGGGGAAUCGACCCCUUCGGUGUCGUAGCUAACGCGUUAAGUGUUCCGCCUGGGGAGUACGCACGCAAGUGUGAAACUCAAAGGAAUUGACGGGGGCCCGCACAAGCGGUGGAGUAUGUGGUUUAAUUCGAUGCAACGCGAAGAACCUUACCAGGGUUUGACAUCCUGCGAACCUCUUAGAAAUUUGAGGGUGCCUUCGGGAAUGCAGUGACAGGUGGUGCAUGGCUGUCGUCAGCUCGUGUCGUGAGAUGUUGGGUUAAGUCCCGCAACGAGCGCAACCCACGUUUUUAGUUGCCAGCAUUUAGUUGGGCACUCUAGAAAGACCGCCGGUGAUAAACCGGAGGAAGGUGUGGAUGACGUCAAGUCAUCAUGCCCCUUACACCCUGGGCUACACACGUACUACAAUGCUACGGACAAAGGGCAGCAAACUCGCGAGAGCUAGCAAAUCCCAUAAACCGUGGCUCAGUUCAGAUCGUAGGCUGCAACUCGCCUACGUGAAGUAGGAAUCGCUAGUAAUCGCAGGUCAGCAUACUGCGGUGAAUACGUUCCCGGGCCUUGUACACACCGCCCGUCACACCAUGGAAGUUGGCCAUGCCCGAAGUCGUUACUCCAACCCUUGUGGAGGAGGACGCCGAAGGUGGGGCUAAUGACUGGGGUGAAGUCAUAACAAGGUAACCGUA
RNAcentral lists this ribosomal RNA (1449 nucleotides) under uncultured bacterium. RNAcentral's name for it is "bacterial SSU rRNA". It matches the Rfam family "Bacterial small subunit ribosomal RNA". The record is from RNAcentral.